AUUGAACGCUGGCGGCAUGCUUUACACAUGCAAGUCGAACGGUAACAGGGUGCUUGCACCGCUGACGAGUGGCGAACGGGUGAGUAAUGCAUCGGAAUGUACCGUGUAAUGGGGGAUAGCUCGGCGAAAGCCGGAUUAAUACCGCAUACGCCCUGAGGGGGAAAGUGGGGGACCGAAAGGCCUCACGUUAUACGAGCAGCCGAUGUCUGAUUAGCUAGUUGGUGAGGUAAAGGCUCACCAAGGCGUCGAUCAGUAGCGGGUCUGAGAGGAUGAUCCGCCACACUGGGACUGAGACACGGCCCAGACUCCUACGGGAGGCAGCAGUGGGGAAUUUUGGACAAAGGGCGCAAGCCUGAUCCAGCCAUGCCGCGUGUCUGAAGAAGGCCUUCGGGUUGUAAAGGACUUUUGUCCGGGAGCAAAUCCUAGUGGUUAAUACCUACUGGGGCUGAGAGUACCGGAAGAAUAAGCACCGGCUAACUACGUG
RNAcentral lists this ribosomal RNA (484 nucleotides) under uncultured bacterium. Its description in RNAcentral is "partial 16S ribosomal RNA". It matches the Rfam family "Bacterial small subunit ribosomal RNA", at positions 30 to 507 of the family's 1533-position model. The record is from RNAcentral.